Molecule: transfer RNA, 75 nt
Filed under: Verrucomicrobiaceae bacterium
Lineage: Bacteria; Pseudomonadati; Verrucomicrobiota; Verrucomicrobiia; Verrucomicrobiales; Verrucomicrobiaceae
Description: tRNA-Cys
Source: RNAcentral
AGGGCCUGAUGGAGCAAGUGAACCAGGCGGUCUGCAAAACCGACACGGCGGGCGCAAUACCCGCAGGCCCUUCCA